ACUCCUACGGGAGGCAGCAGUGGGGAAUAUUGCACAAUGGGGGAAACCCUGAUGCAGCCAUGCCGCGUGUGUGAAGAAGGCCUUCGGGUUGUAAAGCACUUUCAGUAGGGAGGAAGGUAGUGUAGUUAACACCUGCACUAUUUGGUCGUUACCUACAGAAGAAGCACCGGCUAACUCCGUGCCAGCAGCCGCGGUAAUACGGGAGGGUGCGAGCGUUAAUCGGAAUUACUGGGCGUAAAGCGCAUGCAGGCGGCCUGUUAAGUCAGAUGUGAAAGCCCGGGGCUUAACCUCGGAAUUGCAUUUGAAACUGGCAGGCUAGAGUCUUGUAGAGGGGUUAGAAUUUCAGGUGUAGCGGUGAAAUGCGUAGAGAUCUGAAGGAAUACCAGUGGCGAAGGCGGCCCCGUGGACAAAGACUGACGCUCAGAUGCGAAAGCGUGGGAGCAAACAGGAUUAGAUACCCCUGGUAGACUGUCA
This 474-nucleotide ribosomal RNA is filed under the name uncultured bacterium. Its description in RNAcentral is "bacterial SSU rRNA". It matches the Rfam family "Bacterial small subunit ribosomal RNA", at positions 335 to 802 of the family's 1533-position model. The record is from RNAcentral.